AGGGUGUAAACGCUGCAGACUUGGUGUUGGGAACCCUUCGGGGGUGCUCAGUGCCGGAGAGAAGUUGUUAAGUCUGCUACUUGGGGAGUACGUCCGCAAGGAUGAAACUUAAAGGAAUUGGCGGGGGAGCACCGCAACGGGAGGAGCGUGCGGUUUAAUUGGAUUCAACACCGUAAAACUCACCAGGGAAGACUGUUACAUGAAAGCCGAGAUGAAGACUCUGCUAGAUUUUUCAGAGAGGAGGUGCAUGGCGUCAGUGACU
This 262-nucleotide ribosomal RNA is filed under the name uncultured archaeon. RNAcentral describes it as "partial 16S ribosomal RNA". It matches the Rfam family "Archaeal small subunit ribosomal RNA", at positions 748 to 1008 of the family's 1478-position model. The record is from RNAcentral.